CCAGUGGAUCGCCGUGUAUCUGUAUCUCUCUCUUGCCCUUUCCUUCCUUCGGCGUAGUGCCCCCGCCAGUGUAGGUUCCAAAGGCCCCGCCUUCAGCGGCCGCUGCUCUACGAGCAGUUGCGGGCGCCGCUCUACGAGCCGCCGCGGGGAGGUCUCAGACGCGCGGAGCGACUACUCACAGACUACCUACGGGCGUUCUUCUAACUUGUGCUCUAGCUUUCAUUUCGGUUCCGCAGGAACUUUCUUCCCAAUCCAGUUCUCGUAUUUUGAGGUGUGGGUCCAUGUUUAUAACUUCUACUUCUUCCCUUGGGACCAUCACUAUCCUUACUUCUUCCCUCUGUAGUCACACACCUUCUAUGACUAAAUCUACUCUCUCCGAUACUACAGCUCUAGUGACUGUGACUUCGUAGUCUGCUAAACGAUAUACUUCUUCAAGACUGCCACGACUACUUGCUUCUAUACAGACUGCUGGUCUAGUAGGCAACAAAGGACCAACACCGUAAUAGUUGUAAGGAGACGGGCUGUAGUUUGUGAUUUGGUUCGUGGUUUAUAUACCCUCGAGAUCAAUUACACCUCGUUGAGUUCGUUGAUUUAACCACGUCCAAACUAGUACUAACCCUCAACUACAUAUAUUUCUUUAUGGUUUUCCUUUUCGACUUCGUCUUGGCUUGUUACUACUGAGAUCCUCCUACAUAUAUGGUGGAUCGUCAGGCAACAGAACUAAAAUGACUAAAACCGAGUUAAGUUUAGGGUAGAAACUACGGGUCUUAUACACAGACCUUCCCUCUAUACCAGUUCGUAAAUUCACUGUACUGGUAACCUUCUCUACCUUUCAUACCUACAGAGUGUUAUUUUCUUCAUAGUCUUUGGGCGAUGUUCCUACCUUGUAUGCUCACCCGUUCAUGCUAAUUCUUAAGUUUAAAGUCCUUUCGCUAUUUGUUACAACGUCCCUUAAGAAACAGACUGUUCCAGUUUCUCCUAUAGAAGGAGCGAAUGCUUUUGGUAUACUUCUUACUUCUGUAUUUAUGAACGUAGUUUCGAUUUCCCGAAGACGAUCUGUGCUAGGCGUAGUAUUGGUUACGGAGACCACUUAGUCCACUAUGUCAAUUUCACCCGAGUUGUCCUUGACUUAACUUACGUUCGGUUGUCAGGUUGUUGAGUCCUCUGUGACAGUUUGAUGUUAGCUGACUUGAAGUUCUCCUUUUACUGCCUCCCGUAGACGACGUUUCCUUUUGCCUACAAGAUAGUUGAUCGGUUGUCAGACGACCAAGAAGACGUAGUUUUUGUUUACGACCUUUUCCCUCGUAUUUACUUCGAUUACCCAAAACAUCGUCGGGAGGAUUUCAGGUACUUUAUCCGUUCAACUUCAGAUUGAGGCCUCGUGUUACAGUUUCUCUCGUAAGGAGUUUCCUGGGGUACGGUCUUUACACACAAGGUCGGCGUAGUUGAAAGCGAGGUUCUUUGGUACAUCUACCUCCUCCUCCUAUCUACGGGUUAGUUCAUCGCUUGGUGUACUAGGGACAAGUUAGUUCGUGUUCUUCGGAAACCUUAGAGAAAACUUCCGACUGUUUUUUUAGGGGAGUUUUGUCCCACUUCUUUUCCUACUUCAGGUGUGAGAUCUAUUAGUUGUUCUCUUUUCGUCGUCGGAGUUGAUGUACGAAUAACCUCUUCGUUUUCUCUUGGUGCAAGUUUUACAUCGUCUCUCACGGUUCCUUCUGUAGGGUUGUCUCGAGUAAGUCAGGUUUUAUUAAAAGUGCCUUAGUUUCGUUUGUUGUAAAAGACCAAAAGUUUUGUGUAGUUAAGUCCUUAACCUGGACGUCUCCUUUUUUAAAUCCCCCGCGGACCUAUUGGACUCGUAUCUGUAAUUACAUUUUCGCGUUGGUCUCUCACCCUGUGUAUGUCUACUCCAAAAACGUUCUCCUAUAUUUUAGUAAUCGCUGAAAGAUCUGUUCCGUUUUCUUUUUAUAAAGAAGUGGCUACUAUCGUGGGGGAGUAAGUCAUAGAGACUUCUACACCUACUUACACCUUUAUAUUAGCUUCUUGUACUUAACACCUCCGGACAUACCUACUUCCUACUCACAAUGUUUUUUUCUAUCUCCGUUGUUUCAACUUCUAGCGGUUUUUGAAGUUCCUUCAUGUCGGUCUUCUUCAACUGUAAACACACGUUCCCUUAUGUUUGAACUUCUUUGUCCCUUCGUCAUCAAGUUUGAUGCUCGAUUCGUAAGUCACGCGGGUUUCCCUUCAUGUUUCUUCAAACUACACACUCUGCGGUAUCGGGGGUUUUGGUCAACUCCUCUAACAACUACACUGUUGUGGACUUCAAGUUUACAGUUGACCCACCUUAGUGUCCGUUUGAACGAUGAGUGGUACGUUUUUAUUGUUGCUCAUGUGUCGGCUCUGAGGGGGUGAGUUUUACUUCUUCCUGAUGAGGUACCAAGGUUAUUAUCCUUUUUCCAAUAAACGUCUCCUCCUUUCGACAGUUGUUCUUAGGUCACCGUCGUUUUCCUUAGGUCAUGUUGAUUACCUUCUUUUUUGAAGUCCUGUUGAGUUUUAAGUACCUCUUUUGUACAAAACCGUUCUCGCAUCGUGUAACCAGUUGUAUUGACUACUAAAAAUGUUGUGUUUAUAGAGCAAUCCUUCCGGUUCGUCAAAGUCACCUUUUCUUUUACGUGGUGGUUUCUCCUAACAGGUUGGUUCGUCCAUGGCAUCGAGUGGCAUGCUGACGUCGUUUUCCCCGGGUUAUUACGGUGUACUCUCUUUCUACAUACUCUUGUAUUGUAGAGACCGGUUACAACUUCCUAGGUUUGGACGUCAAAACUAACUGUUUUGGUAACGGUGUAAACCUGUCAACCCAUUGAGCUACUUUUAUCCACCGGCCCAGGUCCGGAUACAGUAUUUACACAUGACAUCCGUGGAUAAAUUACUUUUAGUAGGAUCCUUGAGUGAGUUCGUGAUAAAGAAGGUGUGACGUAAACUUAUAAAGGACCCGUUUACCUUUUUACUACUCCGUUCUUAAACCACCUCCUUCUUUGACUAAUGCUCAAAGUAACCUCGACCUUUUCGUGUAUUAGAAAGCUACAAUCUGUUCAACAUGAAAGGUUGUGAUGUGCUCCUUGUAAUGAAAGACAAGCAGCAACUGUAGUUCCCAGUGUACAAAAUAAAAGAUCUAAGAAAGAUGCUACUCUUCUCGAGUAUAGUAUACUUGUAUUUUUUCUUCUAAUAGAGUUCGAAAUAUACGUGAACCAUACUUCGAGCCGAGGUCGGUUACCUAAAGUUACGUAAGGGACGACAAAUGGGAUUUCAGGGAGUUGUUCUAUUGCUAUAACUAACACCGUAAAAGUGAUACUUUGAUUACCCUACCACGGGUUCCUUAGGUUGGGGAUAUCAAAAAAGUGGUUUUCUACAGGGUCUACGUUCCUAGACUAUACGAUAACUAGAGUACAAGUCGGUGAUGUUGUGAAACCUACUGCUCUUCUUCGCACACUUCCUCAAGGCGGAUAUCUGUACUUUUUCACGACUGUCGAGGAUUUUCUGUGGUGAGUAUCUACUAUUCUCCUCGACAUAGUUCUCAGUAUACACUUGUGUGUUACGAUGUCCGUAUAUAUACACUUGUGUGUUACGUUUAUACUAAGGAACUUUCUCUUCCCCGCCCCCCCUUAUAUACAUACGAUGUCCGUAUAUAUACACUUGUGUGUUACGUAUAUAUAAUCAAAAAUCAUAGACGUUCGUACAAAACUUGUACAUAAGCACGAGCCAAAAAAAAAGGUCAUACGAGAAAAAAGUUCGUUUUUUUAGACUUAACACAAAAAAUGGGCAAAAAAUUUCAUAAGUUUCUGGUUUCUUUCAAACUAACAAAACUAUAUUUGUGAGUGUAAAAAACACAGACAAACACAAAAAAACUGUCUUUUAUGGGUUCUUUCAACGACGACGGUGCGACAAACUUCUUGUCCCCCAACAACCAUAAAGACACCUACCAACCUCUAAGUUUUUUUAGAGUAUCUUUUGAUGACUACUACCGGCGUAACACAAACCGUCGUUCUUCACCUUUUUGAAGCGUCGAUCGUCUCCUGAGUUUCAGUUGUGUCGACAAGAAUAACCGAAGUUCUCGUCGCUCUCCCUACUACAGGUACAGGACCAAUAGAACUUCUUCGAACCGAUCCGUGGUCCGUGUCGUUGACUACUGUUCGUCUCGACGCAGAUAUUAUGAGUAGACAACCCAUAAGAUAUAUAAAGACACAGCUUCAGACAUACUGCUUGGAAAAAAGUAAAAAUACGGUACAACUUGGACAGUUACAUCAAAACGCAAAGAAUACACAGGUGGUUUGUUACGCCGAACUUAUUAUAUACUACCCUUGGGGAAAAAGAUGUAAUAUAAGUUCCCAAGUGGAUUCAAAAAAAUAACUAAAAAGUCAUUUGUAAGUAUAUGAAAAAUUAAAUACACGUGU
This 4445-nucleotide ribosomal RNA is filed under the name Triticum aestivum (bread wheat). RNAcentral's name for it is "partial small subunit ribosomal RNA". The record is from RNAcentral. Lineage: Eukaryota; Viridiplantae; Streptophyta; Magnoliopsida; Poales; Poaceae.